RNAcentral lists this ribosomal RNA (498 nucleotides) under uncultured bacterium. RNAcentral describes it as "partial 16S ribosomal RNA". It matches the Rfam family "Bacterial small subunit ribosomal RNA", at positions 28 to 507 of the family's 1533-position model. The record is from RNAcentral.
GACGAACGCUGGCGGCGUGCCUAAUACAUGCAAGUCGAGCGGACGAUUCGAAAGCUUGCUUUUGAAUCGUUAGCGGCGGACGGGUGAGUAACACGUGGGCAACCUGCCCUGUAGACGGGGAUAACACCGAGAAAUCGGUUCUAAUACCGGAUAACACGAAAUGUCGCAUGACGUUUCGUUGAAAGGCGGCGCAAGCUGCCGCUACAGGAUGGGCCCGCGGCGCAUUAGCUAGUUGGUGAGGUAACGGCUCACCAAGGCGACGAUGCGUAGCCGACCUGAGAGGGUGAUCGGCCACACUGGGACUGAGACACGGCCCAGACUCCUACGGGAGGCAGCAGUAGGGAAUCUUCCGCAAUGGACGAAAGUCUGACGGAGCAACGCCGCGUGAGCGAAGAAGGCCUUCGGGUCGUAAAGCUCUGUUGUUAGGGAAGAACAAGUAACGUAGUAACUGACGUUACUAUGACGGUACCUAACGAGAAAGCCACGGCUAACUACGUG